ACGCUGGCGGCAGGCCUAACACAUGCAAGUCGAGCGGUAGAGAGAAGCUUGCUUCUCUUGAGAGCGGCGGACGGGUGAGUAAUGCCUAGGAAUCUGCCUGGUAGUGGGGGAUAACGUUCGGAAACGGACGCUAAUACCGCAUACGUCCUACGGGAGAAAGCAGGGGACCUUCGGGCCUUGCGCUAUCAGAUGAGCCUAGGUCGGAUUAGCUAGUUGGUGGGGUAAUGGCUCACCAAGGCGACGAUCCGUAACUGGUCUGAGAGGAUGAUCAGUCACACUGGAACUGAGACACGGUCCAGACUCCUACGGGAGGCAGCAGUGGGGAAUAUUGGACAAUGGGCGAAAGCCUGAUCCAGCCAUGCCGCGUGUGUGAAGAAGGUCUUCGGAUUGUAAAGCACUUUAAGUUGGGAGGAAGGCCAGUUGCCUAAUACGUAACUGUUUUGACGUUACCGACAGAAUAAGCACCGGCUAACUCUGUGCCAGCAGCCGCGGUAAUACAGAGGGUGCAAGCGUUAAUCGGAAUUACUGGGCGUAAAGCGCGCGUAGGUGGUUUGGUAAGUUGGAUGUGAAAUCCCCGGGCUCAACCUGGGAACUGCAUUCAAAACUGACUGACUAGAGUAUGGUAGAGGGUGGUGGAAUUUCCUGUGUAGCGGUGAAAUGCGUAGAUAUAGGAAGGAACACCAGUGGCGAAGGCGACCACCUGGACUGAUACUGACACUGAGGUGCGAAAGCGUGGGGAGCAAAC
Molecule: ribosomal RNA, 745 nt
Filed under: uncultured bacterium
Lineage: Bacteria
Description: bacterial SSU rRNA
Rfam family: Bacterial small subunit ribosomal RNA
Source: RNAcentral